AUUCUUCUGUAAGUUCAUUAGUCGCCGCUUGGGAGAAAAUGGGACCAGGUGGGCCAGGAGGGCCACCGGGGCCAGGUGGACCAGGAGGGCCAGGAGGGCCUCCGGGGCCAGGAGGGCCAGGAGGGCCAGGAUGGGGCGGUCCUCCACCCGGACCAGGAGGGCCACCAGGAUGGGGCGGUCCUCCACCCGGACCAGGAGGGCCACCGGGAUGGGGGGGUCCUCCUCCCGGACCAGGGGGACCACCGGGGUGGGGCGGCCCUCCGGUCGGACCAGG
This 274-nucleotide long non-coding RNA is filed under the name Gossypium barbadense (sea-island cotton). RNAcentral describes it as "long non-coding RNA (GBAR_LNC010807)". Lineage: Eukaryota; Viridiplantae; Streptophyta; Magnoliopsida; Malvales; Malvaceae. The record is from RNAcentral.